RNAcentral lists this long non-coding RNA (634 nucleotides) under Sparus aurata (gilthead seabream). RNAcentral's name for it is "lncRNA (ENSSAUG00010001034.1)". The record is from RNAcentral. Lineage: Eukaryota; Metazoa; Chordata; Actinopteri; Spariformes; Sparidae.
CAUUGUUGAUUGAUUAAACCCUGUGUUCAGCUUGUUUGAUUUGACACUUCCUUACUUACUUUGUUAGCAAUUUGAUAUCCAUACAUUUGUUUCUUCUUCUAAAUGUGGUUCUUUCUUCUUUUUCCAAUCUGUUCUUUCUUCAAUCUUUUACAGAUUGGUGAGCUGAAAGAGCAAUGGAUGGAUUCAAACCUGUACUUUCCAGGAAGUUAACAAGUUAAGGUUCAAGGCUGUGUCCAAAAACAACAGGUUUGGUUUGAAAGCAGACCAGCCAGCUACUAACCAAAUCUUUACGAGAACCAAAAAGAAGCAACUCUAGUGCUACACGGGCAGUUUCUCUCCCCCUCUCGUCUCUCUGUGCCGAGGAUUCACCGGUGGACAGCGCUUGUUUGAGACUUUUAAUGACAGCGCAGCGGGAGAGAUCCGUCAUCUCCCAACCUAAACCAAAGCAACCCCCGCCGAGGAGGACAGACAGAGACAGAGAGCCGCUGCGAUCUUUACGCACAGCUGCGUGGACACGAUAAAUGGAGUCUAAUUGUGUCCGUGGAAGCAGCUGAACGAGGAGCUCCAACUGCACUAAAUCCACAUGAGGUGCGACGGCAGCAGAUAUCCUCCACUGUCCAGACACCUGCAGCCC